GACGAACGCUGGCGGCGUGCCUAAUACAUGCAAGUCGAGCGGGGUCAAUGAGAAGCUUGCUUCUCUGAGACUUAGCGGCGGACGGGUGAGUAACACGUAGGCAACCUGCCCAUAAGACUGGGGAUAACUACCGGAAACGGUAGCUAAUACCGGAUAGGUUCUUCUCUCGCAUGAGAGAAGAAAGAAAGACGGAGCAAUCUGUCACUUAUGGAUGGGGCCUGCGGCGCAUUAGCUAGUUGGUGGGGUAAAGGCCUACCAAGGCGACGAUGCGUAGCCGACCUGAGAGGGUGAUCGGCCACACUGGGACUGAGACACGGCCCAGACUCCUACGGGUGGCAG
This 339-nucleotide ribosomal RNA is filed under the name uncultured Bacillota bacterium. Its description in RNAcentral is "bacterial SSU rRNA". It matches the Rfam family "Bacterial small subunit ribosomal RNA", at positions 28 to 351 of the family's 1533-position model. Lineage: Bacteria; Bacillati; Bacillota. The record is from RNAcentral.